This is a long non-coding RNA of Gasterosteus aculeatus aculeatus (three-spined stickleback), 887 nucleotides long. NCBI's taxonomy places the organism in Eukaryota, Metazoa, Chordata, Actinopteri, Perciformes, Gasterosteidae. The record is from Ensembl.
CUUAGACUCCUCGUCCAAUCACGUGUGAGGUCAUAGGCAUGACUGAUACAGCAGUACUUGCAAGACGAGCAUACAAACAGACACGUGUGUGUUACUAUAUUCAGAAGAACUGUAUCUCCAGUUCCUUUGUUUGGUUUUUGCUGCUUCGUGAAUAAUGGCUGGACGACGUCUCGCGCUCAACUCGCCUUCAACUCCUCUCCGCGGUCACCAACUUUCGGCCAGUCCGCAGACAGACGAGAAGAAGCUGCUGAUGAUCUCAGUGGAUCGUCUCGUCAACUCCAACAACAAACUGCCGAUAUCAACGAGCGGUUCGCUCCACUGGAGCGUUCGGGACUCUGCGGGUUUCUGUCCAUGGAGGAGAGGAACCGACUCAAAGAAGAGGAGACGGGCGCACGAUCCCACGAUAGCGCCGCCUGUGAGACGUAUUGUGAGACGGGACGCAGGAGCUUCAGGUUCAGGCGGAACACUCAUUGCGAGCGGAAGCUGCGAAGGAUUCAGCGCGGAGUCGAGCGAGAAGAAAGAGGCUGCUGGAAUCGAGACAAAGUGUGCUGGCUGAUGACGAGGUGGAACUCCGCCACCGUGGAGCUCACGUCGGACGGAGGGGACGGCGUUGUUGGCGGCGUCUCGGGUGGAUUGUACGGUCGCCACACAGACACGAGCCGCCUGCACAACAGACCUGCCUCGGAAAACACGGCGCCAGUGACGGUCUACGACCCCGAGGAGGCAAACGGACAGUUUACUGAGCUGUAGUUUUUAAACCGCCGUUACCCAAGUGUGGGCAGAUCCUCACUUUGUAUGUAGUUGUUGUUUGUGUGUUAAUAAAGCUCUUUCUUUGCAUAAACAUGUGGCAAAUGUUCAUUUUCUCUAUAAAUUCAUUGAUGUCCUGG